RNAcentral lists this ribosomal RNA (709 nucleotides) under uncultured bacterium. RNAcentral's name for it is "bacterial SSU rRNA". It matches the Rfam family "Bacterial small subunit ribosomal RNA", at positions 57 to 765 of the family's 1533-position model. The record is from RNAcentral.
GCAGUCGACGGCAGCGCGGGGCAACCUGGCGGCGAGUGGCGAACGGGUGAGUAAUAUAUCGGAACGUGCCCUGGAGUGGGGGAUAACGCAGCGAAAGUUGCGCUAAUACCGCAUACGAUCUAAGGAUGAAAGCAGGGGACCGCAAGGCCUUGUGCUCCUGGAGCGGCCGAUAUCUGAUUAGCUAGUUGGUGGGGUAAAGGCCUACCAAGGCAUCGAUCAGUAGCUGGUCUGAGAGGACGACCAGCCACACUGGAACUGAGACACGGUCCAGACUCCUACGGGAGGCAGCAGUGGGGAAUUUUGGACAAUGGGCGCAAGCCUGAUCCAGCAAUGCCGCGUGAGUGAAGAAGGCCUUCGGGUUGUAAAGCUCUUUUGUCAGGGAAGAAACGGUGAGUUCUAAUACAGUUCACUAAUGACGGUACCUGAAGAAUAAGCACCGGCUAACUACGUGCCAGCAGCCGCGGUAAUACGUAGGGUGCAAGCGUUAAUCGGAAUUACUGGGCGUAAAGCGUGCGCAGGCGGUUUUGUAAGUUUGUCGUGAAAUCCCCGGGCUCAACCUGGGAAUGGCGAUGAAGACUGCAAGGCUAGAAUCUGGCAGAGGGGGGUAGAAUUCCACGUGUAGCAGUGAAAUGCGUAGAGAUGUGGAGGAACACCGAUGGCGAAGGCAGCCCCCUGGGUCAAGAUUGACGCUCAUGCACGAAAGCGUGGG